CCCGAUGGUGAAAACUUGCUUUUAUUUUCAUUUUUUUUUAUUACAUAUGAGUUAUUGUCUAAUAAUAAAGUGAAGCCAUUACAAAUGGUGAUGCCUUAAACGUUUAUUAAAAUAAAAGUCUCGGAGUAAUUUAUACAUUAUACACAGAAUAACACAUUAUUCUGGAACUGAAUAUUCCUUUCAAAACUUCAAGAAGUCUGAACUCAGCUGAGCAGAUUUGGGUGCGAUAUCAGAGAUUCCUGCACCUAUACAUCACCAUCAGAAGACAACAUUCAAAAAAGCACAAGAGAAGAACCAGUGUCCAGCAAGAAUCAUCUCAGUUGAGCACGAAACAAAAAAGAAAAUCCAUCAAGAUCAUUUAGUAAACUUACAGCAAGAAGAACAAGAAGAAAUGAACAUUCAAAUACCAACACCAGCAGUAUCAAUGACUGGGCUCUCCGUUCAGCCUGCUAUAUCGGUGGUUCAGCCUGCUGUAAUGGUUGUUCAGCCAACUGUACCAUUGGUUCAGUCCACUGUGAGUCAAAUGCCAGUUGCUAUUGUACGAGAUUACAUGUGCUACUCCAUCUUUAACAUGCUGUGCUGCUGUUUCCCUCUGGGCAUCGUUGCUAUCAUCUUCUCAUGCAGUGCUCGAGAUGCUAACAUUUCUGGAGAUCGAGAUUUAGCGAAGAGCCACUCCAGAGUGGCAUUUAUCCUGAACAAUGUGUCUGUCGGUAUCGGCCUCGCAAUCAUGACAGCAAUCGUUGUCAUUUAUUUCAAAUAUAUGCGAGAAUAACAUCUUUGAACAGAUGUAGUAUUCUGCUUCAAAUGCAUCUACUCUUUCUGUCAAUGAUAAUGUCAACUCAAGUCAAUGAUUUUGCAGAAGAAAUGAAAAAUACUUUCCAGACCCUCUGAGGGAAUUAUCUAAUGUACGCUUAUGUUUUAUUUCUUUUUGCAUUUAAUGCUGGCAGACUGCUUCACUGCUUUUUGUUUUUUUGUAAAAUACAGCAUUGCACUAAUUACAUUAAUUGUUCUGGUCAGGGGCUUUCGCACUGGAGGAACCUUAUCAUAGUUCCUAGAACUAUUGGCAGGAAAAUUAUUAGAUUUAGGCGUAUUACAACUCCAGAAACUAUGAACUUAUUGUUUUAGGAUCUCUGUUUUGGGUAGUUAAAUAAGGGUCUCACCGCUUCCGGUUCAAGCUUUUUUAAAUAUGAAGUUGUUUUACUCAAGUUUCCUUUAAAAGUAGAUAAAAAUAAAUGUCCACCAGGAUUUAUUUCUAAAAGUUGUUUAGUUUCAUUCUUUUGACUAACAAUUAAAUAUACAAAAGUAAUAAAAUGUUAACAAUAACUAUAUAAAACUGAUUACCUUAAAAAUCUAUAGAUUUAGCCAUUAUUUAAUACAGCUGUUAACACGUUUUCUGAGAGCUAUGGCUUGACCGCUGUGUAAGGAUGAAAGAACCUCGGAUAUACUUUGAUCUACAUUUAUUCAUUUAGCUGAUGCUUUUAUCCAAAGCGACAUACAGUUGCUAAAUAUAUAUGUCAGAGGUUGCACACCUCUAGAGCAACUAGGGGUUAAGUGUCUUGCUCAGGGACACAUUGGAUUCAAACCCAGGUCUCUCACACCAAAGGCAUGUGUCUUAUCCACUGCGCCAACACCACCCCAUUGGAUCUACAAAGAAACAGACAAUACAAACAUACACAGGCAUUUCCAAGACAUCCCACAGAGUGGAGGUGUAGGAGACCUCCUUCCCUUCUGUCCAUUUGUUUCAUUUUAAAUCAAUUCACCCAUGCUUCCUUCUACUCAAUCUGCUCAAAAUGAUUACAGGAAAAUAUUAAUGCAAGUGAACUAACACUCACGUCUGGUAUCAUUUGAAAUGUCUCAAUGCAACUGUUACAAUGUUCUCAAUCUUACAAAAGUAGACUAAAAGAUAAUACAGAUCCGAAGAGUUAAGAGAUAUUUUGAGAAUGAGCCCACAGCAUGAAGUACUUCUUACUCUUAAAUUCAUCUUUGAGAAUUUGAUGUCUUGUAUUGAUUUGAUAUCUCUGAAUUGGCUAUGUAAUUGGCAUAAUACCUGACUGUUAAUAAAUUGCUAUAUUUGAUUUAUU
Molecule: long non-coding RNA, 2081 nt
Organism: Carassius gibelio (silver crucian carp)
Lineage: Eukaryota; Metazoa; Chordata; Actinopteri; Cypriniformes; Cyprinidae
Exons: 3
Source: RefSeq, a predicted model, not a curated record